UACGUAGGGUGCAAGCGUUAAUCGGAAUUACUGGGCGUAAAGCGUGCGCAGGCGGUCUUGCAAGUCAGAUGUGAAAUCCCCGGGCUUAACCUGGGAACUGCAUUUGUGACUGCAAGGCUGGAGUGCGGCAGAGGGGGAUGGAAUUCCGCGUGUAGCAGUGAAAUGCGUAGAUAUGCGGAGGAACACCGAUGGCGAAGGCAAUCCCCUGGGCCUGCACUGACGCUCAUGCACGAAAGCGUGGGGAGCAAACAGG
This 253-nucleotide ribosomal RNA is filed under the name uncultured bacterium. RNAcentral describes it as "partial 16S ribosomal RNA". It matches the Rfam family "Bacterial small subunit ribosomal RNA", at positions 524 to 776 of the family's 1533-position model. The record is from RNAcentral.